CUUAAAAUGAAAUUAGGUGUAUUUAUAGAGAAUUCUGGUAACGCAUGUAGUAUUAGGUGUUUAGGUUUAGCAUAAUAAAGGCUAAUGCAAUACAGAGUUCCAAUAACAGUAUGUUUUAAUCUAAUAGGGCAAUAUUCUAAAUAACAAAUAUCAGAAAUGUUAAGCAAUUCAUUUAUUUUUUUUGAGACAGGGUCUCAUUCUGUCACCCAGGCUGGAGUUGCAGUGGCAUGAUUUCAGCUCACUGCAACCUCUGCCUCCUGAGUUCAAGUAAUUCUCAUGCCUCAGCCUCCCAAGUAGCUGGGACUACAAGCAUCAAACAGCAUGCCCGGCUAAUUUUUUGCUAUUUUUUGCAGAGAUGGGGUUUCGCCAUGUUGUCCAGGCUGGUCUUGAACUUCUGGGUUCAAGCAGUCCACCCACCUUGGCCUCCCAAAGUGGUGGGAUUACAAGCAUGAGCCACCGUGCCUGGCCUGCAAUUCUUUUUUUUUUUUUUUUUGAGAUGGAGUUUCGC
Molecule: long non-coding RNA, 508 nt
Filed under: Homo sapiens (human)
Lineage: Eukaryota; Metazoa; Chordata; Mammalia; Primates; Hominidae
Description: HSALNT0060766
Source: RNAcentral